UGGAGCUAUGUGACUUCUA
This 19-nucleotide non-coding RNA is filed under the name Arabidopsis thaliana (thale cress). The record is from RNAcentral. Lineage: Eukaryota; Viridiplantae; Streptophyta; Magnoliopsida; Brassicales; Brassicaceae.